CCGAAGCUCAUGGUCCUGAAGGA
RNAcentral lists this small nuclear RNA (23 nucleotides) under Arabidopsis thaliana (thale cress). Its description in RNAcentral is "snRNA_00883". The record is from RNAcentral. Lineage: Eukaryota; Viridiplantae; Streptophyta; Magnoliopsida; Brassicales; Brassicaceae.